AGUGCUGGAAAGCCUUGGAGCUGUCUUUUGGAAAGAGAAAAUUACCGAGCAUCGAAGAGGGAUUGUCACCGUUUCAACGCCGAGCCGAGCAGGCCAUCGCUUCGGUAGAGUUCUGGCCGGGAGCGGGAGAGUCGUCCGGGUCGCCGGCGGCGGCCACUACUACUACUCCCAGACCAGCACCAUGCAAGUUGUCACGAGCGUGGACAGCCUCAGCGAGGCCACAGGCGCCACAGGUCCGGCCCGGCGCCGCCUACGGUAGUAGUGCCCGUGGUGCAGCAAGAAGUAGCAGGCGACACACCCAGGGCUCGGGCGCGAGGCCAUGGACUUGACCGGGCCCAUCAAACUCCUAUUGGACAUGAACGAGAGUAUCAGCAGCUGGGAGACAGCUAAAUAUUACCGCUUGGUUGUGCAAGACCAAAAGGCUAACCCAAAGUUCUGCGUAAAUUCUGAUUAAAUUGUUAUUAGUGGAGUAGUAACCAAAGUUUUGGAAUCAACUAAGUUUGUAGACCUGGCAUCUGUUUUAUUUUGUUGAAAAUGGGGAGAUUAGUUUGAAUAUUUACAAGGAUGAGCUGUUGUAUUGGAGCCCAGUCUGAUAGGCCAUCCUCGAAUUUCUUUCACUGUAAUGUUGCAACAAAUCUUCAAUAGAAUAACAUUAUAGUUAAAAGUGUUUUUCAUAAUUAAGUACAUUCUAAUAAAAUUGAUAUACAUGUAAUUUUUGCUUCUGAUUGAUAAAGGUUUCCCCCUCCCUUAAGCUGUAGUAAUCACAGUUAGAAGUGCGGAGUAGUUAGGCAGUACCGGCACACGCCCAUGCAGCAUUGGUUGCCUACCCAGGGCGUCAAGCUAUUGACACGAUCCCUGCGACUCAAUUUUGGAUGCCUACGAU
This is a long non-coding RNA of Frankliniella occidentalis (western flower thrips), 883 nucleotides long. RefSeq lists it as uncharacterized. The transcript is spliced from 5 exons. The record is from RefSeq and is a predicted model, not a curated record. NCBI's taxonomy places the organism in Eukaryota, Metazoa, Arthropoda, Insecta, Thysanoptera, Thripidae.